This 495-nucleotide ribosomal RNA is filed under the name uncultured bacterium. Its description in RNAcentral is "partial 16S ribosomal RNA". It matches the Rfam family "Bacterial small subunit ribosomal RNA", at positions 28 to 507 of the family's 1533-position model. The record is from RNAcentral.
GACGAACGCUGGCGGCGUGCCUAAUACAUGCAAGUAGAACGCUGAAGGAGGAGCUUGCUUCUCUGGAUGAGUUGCGAACGGGUGAGUAACGCGUAGGUAACCUGCCUGGUAGCGGGGGAUAACUAUUGGAAACGAUAGCUAAUACCGCAUAAGAUUGACUAUUGCAUGAUAGUCAGCUAAAAGGUGCAAUUGCAUCACUACCAGAUGGACCUGCGUUGUAUUAGCUAGUUGGUGGGGUAACGGCUCACCAAGGCGACGAUACAUAGCCGACCUGAGAGGGUGAUCGGCCACACUGGGACUGAGACACGGCCCAGACUCCUACGGGAGGCAGCAGUAGGGAAUCUUCGGCAAUGGACGGAAGUCUGACCGAGCAACGCCGCGUGAGUGAAGAAGGUUUUCGGAUCGUAAAGCUCUGUUGUAAGAGAAGAACGAGUGUGAGAGUGGAAAGUUCACACUGUGACGGUAUCUUACCAGAAAGGGACGGCUAACUACGUG